Molecule: ribosomal RNA, 469 nt
Filed under: uncultured bacterium
Lineage: Bacteria
Description: partial 16S ribosomal RNA
Rfam family: Bacterial small subunit ribosomal RNA
Source: RNAcentral
GACGAACGCUGGCGGCGUGCUUAACACAUGCAAGUCGAACGGAAAGGCCCUGCUUGCAGGGUGCUCGAGUGGCGAACGGGUGAGUAACACGUGGGUGAUCUGCCCCUUACUUUGGGAUAAGCCUGGGAAACUGGGUCUAAUACUGGAUAGGACCAUGCUGUAGGUGGUGUGGUGGAGAGAUUAGUUUCGGUAAGGGAUGAGCUCGCGGCCUAUCAGCUUGUUGGUGGGGUAAUGGCCUACCAAGGCGUCGACGGGUAGCCGGCCUGAGAGGGUGGACGGCCACAUUGGGACUGAGAUACGGCCCAGACUCCUACGGGAGGCAGCAGUGGGGAAUAUUGCACAAUGGGCGCAAGCCUGAUGCAGCGACGCCGCGUGGGGGAUGACGGCCUUCGGGUUGUAAACUCCUUUCAGCCAUGACGAAGCCCUUGUGGUGACGGUAGUGGUAGAAGAAGCACCGGCUAACUACGUG